Molecule: ribosomal RNA, 429 nt
Filed under: Chloroflexota bacterium
Lineage: Bacteria; Bacillati; Chloroflexota
Description: Chloroflexi bacterium partial 16S ribosomal RNA
Rfam family: Bacterial small subunit ribosomal RNA
Source: RNAcentral
UGGGGAAUUUUGCACAAUGGGCGCAAGCCUGAUGCAGCCAUGCCGCGUGUAUGAAGAAGGCCUUCGGGUUGUAAAGUACUUUCAGCGGGGAGGAAGGGAGUAAAGUUAAUACCUUUGCUCAUUGACGUUACCCGCAGAAGAAGCACCGGCUAACUCCGUGCCAGCAGCCGCGGUAAUACGGAGGGUGCAAGCGUUAAUCGGAAUUACUGGGCGUAAAGCGCACGCAGGCGGUUUGUUAAGUCAGAUGUGAAAUCCUCGGGCUCAACCUGGGAACUGCAUCUGAUACUGGCAAGCUUGAGUCUCGUAGAGGGGGGUAGAAUUCCAGGUGUAGCGGUGAAAUGCGUAGAGAUCUGGAGGAAUACCGGUGGCGAAGGCGGCCCCCUGGACAAAGACUGACGCUCAGGUGCGAAAGCGUGGGGAGCAAACAGG